This 392-nucleotide ribosomal RNA is filed under the name uncultured bacterium. RNAcentral's name for it is "bacterial SSU rRNA". It matches the Rfam family "Bacterial small subunit ribosomal RNA", at positions 983 to 1375 of the family's 1533-position model. The record is from RNAcentral.
GACAUGUACGGAAGUUACCAGAGAUGGUUUCGUGCUCGAAAGAGAACCGUAACACAGGUGCUGCAUGGCUGUCGUCAGCUCGUGUCGUGAGAUGUUGGGUUAAGUCCCGCAACGAGCGCAACCCUUGUCAUUAGUUGCUACAUUUAGUUGGGCACUCUAAUGAGACUGCCGGUGACAAACCGGAGGAAGGUGGGGAUGACGUCAAGUCCUCAUGGCCCUUAUAGGUGGGGCUACACACGUCAUACAAUGGCUGGUACAAAGGGUUGCCAACCCGCGAGGGGGAGCUAAUCCCAUAAAGCCAGUCGUAGUCCGGAUCGUAGUCUGCAACUCGACUGCGUGAAGUCGGAAUCGCUAGUAAUCGUGGAUCAGAAUGUCACGGUGAAUACGUUCCC